Molecule: long non-coding RNA, 225 nt
Filed under: Elaeis guineensis (African oil palm)
Lineage: Eukaryota; Viridiplantae; Streptophyta; Magnoliopsida; Arecales; Arecaceae
Description: long non-coding RNA (EGUI_LNC056377)
Source: RNAcentral
CUUCAGAUAUUAGGCAUGCUGCAGGCUAGAUGGAUCUCCCGAUCUCCCAUUGUUGCAGUGGGAUUGGAAAAUGGUUUGAAAAAUAGUGACAGCCACAAGAACAGUGCUCUGUAUUCAUAUCUGAAUAGGAGAGGUGGUUCGUGGUGGCUAUGCAAAAGCCUCGGUAUAGACUGAUAUCUCUAAACCUCUAAAUCCUACAGUGGACAUCAUUGUGAAAGGAAGGAA